Molecule: long non-coding RNA, 522 nt
Organism: Cucumis melo (muskmelon)
Lineage: Eukaryota; Viridiplantae; Streptophyta; Magnoliopsida; Cucurbitales; Cucurbitaceae
Exons: 2
Source: RefSeq, a predicted model, not a curated record
GAGAUGGGCAAUGGGGAUUGCUUGGGAGGCAAAAACCGAGAGCCACCUCAAAUCCGCGGUGAACAACUUGUCAUUUGGAUUGGUCGACUUGUCGAUUUUCUUGAAUAUAUAUUUAAAAAAAAAAACAAAAAUUGUCAAUUUUAUGUCGCUUUAAUUUGUUGAGAAAAGUUAUUUUAAGUUUGAUAUGCACAAAAGGUUAUUUUAAGUUUGAUGUGCGGUAUGAUGUUUUUAAAUAAUUUGUUCUUUUUCUUGAUAUCAUGUUUUCAAUAUUUGUUUGCAUGACAAAUAUGAAUUUUACUUGAAGAAUGGUUCAUUUAUCUCCGAACAGCUUUGAUUUAAUGUCCUGAAUUUCAAUAUUCUUCUUUCCAAAAAUUGAAGGAAAAGAAAAAUUACUCCAUCUUGGGAUGGAUAGGAUAGGGACUUCUUAUUUGACUUGUUACAAUAAUAGUAGUUCUUGGGUGACAUAGGUGGUAUGACUUUGUAGUGUGUAUGAAUUAUUGUUAAUGAAUUUUGAAUUGCUUA